Long non-coding RNA from Chelonia mydas (Green sea turtle), 232 nucleotides. RefSeq lists it as uncharacterized. The transcript has 3 exons. Lineage: Eukaryota; Metazoa; Chordata; Testudines; Cheloniidae. The record is from RefSeq and is a predicted model, not a curated record.
GCAGAUCUGUAGGCUGUAUUAUAACUAGGGCCCUACCAAAUUCACGGCCACGAAAAACGCAUCACAGACCAUCAAAUGUGGUCUUCCCCCGUGAGAUCUGGUCUUUUGAGUGCUUUCACCCUAUACUACACAGAUUUCAUGGGGGAGACCAGCAUUUGUCAAAUUGGGGGUCCUGACCCAAAAGGGAGUUGCAGGGGGGUCGCAAGGUUAUUGUAGUGGGGUCGCAAUAUUG